This 460-nucleotide ribosomal RNA is filed under the name uncultured bacterium. Its description in RNAcentral is "partial 16S ribosomal RNA". It matches the Rfam family "Bacterial small subunit ribosomal RNA", at positions 338 to 795 of the family's 1533-position model. The record is from RNAcentral.
CCUACGGGAGGCAGCAGUGAGGAAUAUUGGUCAAUGGACGAGAGUCUGAACCAGCCAAGUCGCGUGAAGGAUGACUGCCCUAUGGGUUGUAAACCUCUUUUAUAUGGGAAUAAAAUGUUCCACGUGUGGGGUUUUGUAUGUACCAUAUGAAUAAGGAUCGGCUAACUCCGUGCCAGCAGCCGCGGUAAUACGGAGGAUGCGAGCGUUAUCCGGAUUUAUUGGGUUUAAAGGGGGCGUAGGUGGAUUGUUAAGGCAGUUGUGAAAGUUUGCGGCUCAACCGUAGAAUUGCAGUUGAAACUGGCAGUCUUGAGUACAGUAGAGGUGGGCGGAAUGCGUGGUGUAGCGGUGAAAUGCUUAGAUAUCACGAAGAACUCCGAUUGCGAAGGCAGCUCACUGGACUGCAACUGACACUGAGGCACGAAAGUGUGGGUAUCAAACAGGAUUAGAUACCCGGGUAGUC